RNAcentral lists this ribosomal RNA (489 nucleotides) under uncultured Lactobacillus sp. Its description in RNAcentral is "partial 16S ribosomal RNA". Lineage: Bacteria; Bacillati; Bacillota; Bacilli; Lactobacillales; Lactobacillaceae. The record is from RNAcentral.
CACGUAGUUAGCCGUGACUUUCUGGUUGAAUACCGUCACUGCGUGAACAGUUACUCUCACGCACGUUCUUCUUCAACAACAGAGUUUUACGAGCCGAAACCCUUCUUCACUCACGCGGUGUCGCUCCAUCAGGCUUGCGCCCAUUGUGGAAGAUUCCCUACUGCUGCCUCCCGUAGGAGUAUGGACCGUGUCUCAGUUCCGUUGUGGCCGAUCAGUCUCUCAACUCGGCUAUGCAUCAUUGCCUUGGUAGGCCGUUACCCUACCAACUAGCUAAUGCACCGCGGGUCCAUCCUGAAGUGAUAGCCGAAACCAUCUUUCAAACGAAAACCAUGUGGUUUUCGUUGUUAUGCGGUAUUAGCACCUGUUUUCAAAUGUUAUCCCCCGCUUCAGGGCAGGUUGCCCACGUGUUACUCACCCGUCCGCCGCUCACUGGUAAUCCAUCGUCACUUCAGUGCAAGCACGUCAGAUCAGUUGGGCCAGUGCGCUCGA